UACAGAGGGUGCAAGCGUUGUUCGGAAUUAUUGGGCGUAAAGGGAGUGUAGGCUGUUUGUUAAGUCUUCUGUGAAAUCUACGGGCUUACCCUGUAAAGUGCAGAGGAAACUAGCAGACUUGAGUGUCGGAGAGGAUAGGGGAAUUCCCGGUGUAGAGGUGAAAUUCGUAGAGAUCGGGAGGAACACCAGUGGCGAAGGCGCCUAUCUGGCUGACAACUGACGCUGAGACUCGAAAGCAUGGGGAGCAAACGGG
This 253-nucleotide ribosomal RNA is filed under the name uncultured bacterium. RNAcentral's name for it is "partial 16S ribosomal RNA". It matches the Rfam family "Bacterial small subunit ribosomal RNA", at positions 524 to 776 of the family's 1533-position model. The record is from RNAcentral.